UCUUUGAUCCCCAAAGAACACAGGUUGAAGAUAAAAACACGUGCCAAAUUCGACCCUUUUGAGAUCUUGGGAGGCAGAGGGCUCUGCAAUGGAGAAAAAGGCGUGCAACAAGAGCUACAGAGAAACAUUGAAGAGGAGGCACCACCAGCUGCUGGUGAAGAGGAAGCACCACCAGCUGCUGGUGAAGAGGAGUAUUCAGGUAAGUUGGAAAUAUCAAGUGUGCCGGAAGAUGGUUUCGAAAAGGAGCUGAUGGGAUUAACAGGGGGC
Molecule: long non-coding RNA, 267 nt
Filed under: Populus tremula
Lineage: Eukaryota; Viridiplantae; Streptophyta; Magnoliopsida; Malpighiales; Salicaceae
Description: long non-coding RNA (PTRE_LNC000066)
Source: RNAcentral